ACGUAGGUGGCAAGCGUUGUCCGGAAUUAUUGGGCGUAAAGCGCGCGCAGGUGGUUAUAUAAGUCUGAUGUUAAAGUUCGGGGCUCAACCCCGUGAUGGCUUGGAAACUGUAUAACUUGAGUACAGUAGAGGUAAGCGGAAUUCCCAGUGUAGCGGUGAAAUGCGUAGAUAUUGGGAGGAACACCAGUGGCGAAGGCGGCUUACUGGACUGUAACUGACGCUGAGGCGCGAAAGCCUGGGGAGCAAACAG
RNAcentral lists this ribosomal RNA (250 nucleotides) under uncultured prokaryote. RNAcentral describes it as "partial 16S rRNA". It matches the Rfam family "Bacterial small subunit ribosomal RNA", at positions 525 to 775 of the family's 1533-position model. The record is from RNAcentral.